This 497-nucleotide ribosomal RNA is filed under the name uncultured bacterium. Its description in RNAcentral is "partial 16S ribosomal RNA". It matches the Rfam family "Bacterial small subunit ribosomal RNA", at positions 28 to 507 of the family's 1533-position model. The record is from RNAcentral.
GAUGAACGCUGGCGGCGUGCCUAAUACAUGCAAGUCGAGCGAACGGACGAGAAGCUUGCUUCUCUGAUGUUAGCGGCGGACGGGUGAGUAACACGUGGAUAACCUACCUAUAAGACUGGGAUAACUUCGGGAAACCGGAGCUAAUACCGGAUGAUAUUUUGAACCGCAUGGUUCAAAAGUGAAAGACGGUCUUGCUGUCACUUAUAGAUGGAUCCGCGCUGCAUUAGCUAGUUGGUAAGGUAACGGCUUACCAAGGCAACGAUGCAUAGCCGACCUGAGAGGGUGAUCGGCCACCCUGGAACUGGGACACGGUCCAGACUCCUACGGGAGGCAGCAGUAGGGAAUCUUCCGCAAUGGGCGAAAGCCUGACGGAGCAACGCCGCGUGAGUGAUGAAGGUCUUCGGAUCGUACAACUCUGUUAUUAGGGACGAACAUAUGUGUAAGUAACUGUGCACAUCUUGACGGUACCUAAUCAGAAAGCCACGGCUAACUACGUG